Molecule: non-coding RNA, 110 nt
Organism: Acanthosepion pharaonis
Lineage: Eukaryota; Metazoa; Mollusca; Cephalopoda; Sepiida; Sepiidae
Source: the annotation of a GenBank genome assembly
GGCCAUAUCGCGUUAGAAAACCGGUUCACGUACGAUCACCGAAGCUAAGCAACGUCGAACCCGGUCAGUACAUAGAUGGUUGGGCGCUUGGGUACACCAGGUGCUGUAAG